CGUGUCGUUGGCUAAGUCCGUUCGGCGGA
This 29-nucleotide small nuclear RNA is filed under the name Arabidopsis thaliana (thale cress). RNAcentral's name for it is "snRNA_13342". The record is from RNAcentral. Lineage: Eukaryota; Viridiplantae; Streptophyta; Magnoliopsida; Brassicales; Brassicaceae.